Molecule: ribosomal RNA, 339 nt
Filed under: Triticum aestivum (bread wheat)
Lineage: Eukaryota; Viridiplantae; Streptophyta; Magnoliopsida; Poales; Poaceae
Description: partial small subunit ribosomal RNA
Source: RNAcentral
AUGGGGAGCACAAAAAACAGAAGAAGAAAGAUGGAAGGGAGGGAGCGGGCAGGGGGAGAAGAACCUAAGGGGAUGAACGCUGCGGUCCGUCACACAGUGCGCACACAAGGACCGGCCAGGGCUGGUCUAGCACACACCAAUGGGGAGCACAAAGAACAGAAGAAAGACGUGGAAGGUGGAAGGGAGGGAGCAAGCAGGGGAGGGGGGCGGGACCUAAGGGGACGAGCACCACGCCGCGGUUCGUCGAGACGGUGGUUGGAACUUGGAAGCUUGGGGGCAGCCUGCGCGGUGUUGGAUCUAGCGCAGGAGCUCCUUGCGGCAGCCAUGGUGAGCAGGUAG